RNAcentral lists this ribosomal RNA (253 nucleotides) under uncultured bacterium. RNAcentral describes it as "partial 16S ribosomal RNA". It matches the Rfam family "Bacterial small subunit ribosomal RNA", at positions 524 to 776 of the family's 1533-position model. The record is from RNAcentral.
UACGUAGGGGGCAAGCGUUGUCCGGAUUUAUUGGGCGUAAAGAGCGUGUAGGCGGCCGCACAGGUCCGUUGUGAAAACUGGAGGCUUAACCUUCAGACGUCGAUGGAAACCGUGCGGCUAGAGUCCGGAAGAGGAGAAUGGAAUUCCUGGUGUAGCGGUGAAAUGCGCAGAUAUCAGGAAGAACACCCGUGGCUAAGGCGGUUCUCUAGUACGGUACUGACGCUGAGACGCGAAAGCGUGGGGAGCGAACCGG